CGAAAGCCUGACGCAGCGACGCCGCGUGUGGGAUGACGGCCUUCGGGUUGUAAACCACUGUCGGGAGGGACGAAGCUCUGACGGUACCUCCAAAGGAAGCACCGGCUAACUCUGUGCCAGCAGCCGCGGUAAUACAGAGGGUGCAAGCGUUGUCCGGAAUCACUGGGCGUAAAGGGCGCGUAGGCGGCCUGGUAAGCAGGGGGUGAAAUCCUGUGGCUCAACCACAGGGCUGCCUCCUGAACUGUCAGGCUGGAGCACGGUAGAGGCAGAUGGAAUUCCCGGUGUAGCGGUGGAAUGCGUAGAGAUCGGGAAGAACACCAGUGGCGAAGGCGGUCUGCUGGGCCGUUGCUGACGCUGAGGCGCGACAGCGUGGGGAGCAAACAGGAUUAGAUACCCUGGUAGUCCACGCCGUAAACGAUGGGUACUAGGCGUCGGGGGGAGCGACCCUCCCGGUGCCGUCGCUAACGCAGUAAGUACCCCGCCUGGGGAGUACGGCCGCAAGGCUG
Molecule: ribosomal RNA, 506 nt
Filed under: uncultured bacterium
Lineage: Bacteria
Description: bacterial SSU rRNA
Rfam family: Bacterial small subunit ribosomal RNA
Source: RNAcentral